RNAcentral lists this ribosomal RNA (253 nucleotides) under uncultured bacterium. RNAcentral describes it as "partial 16S ribosomal RNA". It matches the Rfam family "Bacterial small subunit ribosomal RNA", at positions 524 to 776 of the family's 1533-position model. The record is from RNAcentral.
UACGUAGGGUGCAAGCGUUAAUCGGAAUUACUGGGCGUAAAGGGUGCGCAGGCGGUUCGGAAAGAGAGAUGUGAAAUCCCAGAGCUUAACUUUGGAACUGCAUUUUUAACUGUCGAGCUAGAGUGUGUCAGAGGGAGGUGGAAUUCCGCGUGUAGCAGUGAAAUGCGUAGAGAUGCGGAGGAACACCGAUGGCGAAGGCAGCCUCCUGGGAUAACACUGACGCUGAGGCACGAAAGCGUGGGGAGCAAACAGG